Molecule: ribosomal RNA, 428 nt
Filed under: uncultured bacterium
Lineage: Bacteria
Description: partial 16S ribosomal RNA
Rfam family: Bacterial small subunit ribosomal RNA
Source: RNAcentral
GUAGGGAAUAUUGCGCAAUGGACGAAAGUCUGACGCAGCGACGCCGCGUGAGUGAUGAAGGCCUUAGGGUCGUAAAGCUCUGUUGAAUGGGAAGAAAAAAAUGACGGUACCAUUCGAGGAAGGACCGGCUAACUUCGUGCCAGCAGCCGCGGUAAUACGAGGGGUCCUAGCGUUGUUCGGAAUCAUUGGGCGUAAAGGGUGUGUAGGUGGCCAUGUAAGUCAGGUGUGAAAGCCCCGGGCUCAACCCGGGAAGUGCACUUGAUACUGCGUGGGUUGAGUACCGAAGAGGGUAGUGGAAUUCCAGGUGUAGUGGUGAAAUACGUAGAUAUCUGGAGGAACACCGGUGGCGAAGGCGGCUACCUGGUCGAGUACUGACACUGAGACACGAAAGCAUGGGGAUCAAACAGGAUUAGAUACCCCGGUAGUCC